GAUUGGCAACGUACCCUGCUAAGUAUUUAAAAUUUGAGAAGGUGACGCCGAUUUGGGAGAAUUUUUACCGGUGAACUCCAUUCUCUAUAUUUCUCUGUAAAAUUCAAAGCUAAUUGAACUACAUGAUUCUUUAGCAUCUCUCUUCUGCUUUCGUUCGCUAAAUUCCGGGAAGAUGACGUCUAUCACUUCUGUCGAAUUGAAUUACCUCGUUUACCGUUAUCUUCAAGAAUCAGGUCC
RNAcentral lists this long non-coding RNA (237 nucleotides) under Panax ginseng (ginseng). Its description in RNAcentral is "long non-coding RNA (PGIN_LNC019111)". Lineage: Eukaryota; Viridiplantae; Streptophyta; Magnoliopsida; Apiales; Araliaceae. The record is from RNAcentral.